Paramuricea clavata is the source of this 1298-nucleotide non-coding RNA. NCBI's taxonomy places the organism in Eukaryota, Metazoa, Cnidaria, Anthozoa, Malacalcyonacea, Plexauridae. The record is from the annotation of a GenBank genome assembly.
CUGGAGGACCUGCUCCUAUACUUCGUUCAGUCAACGAAGUGUCCGCAAAAACAUGGCGGAUUUUGAGUGAAAAUGACGCCAUUUCCAUGACUACUGGUCCCUAAAUUCAUGGUAAUUGCCACUGAACAAGGCUCAAAUAUGAGCCCGCCACAGUUUUCACCCCCCCUGGUUUUUAUAAAAAUAUUUCGACUUUUUGCAGUGAAUACUUGUUGUUUUGAUAUUUUCGACAUAUUUUUUUCGACUGUUGACCAUUUGUUCAAAGGUGUGGAAGCCGUACACGUUCAUUGUCGUCCGUGGAGCGUGAAAGACAACAAACAACUAUUAAAACCUCGCGAAAGCCGAAAUGUGGACAAAAACGAUACUUCAAGCCAGAGCAAACAUCCGUAAUUAUCAGACUAUAAACAGGUAUCUAUAAAUAUUUCAAAAUUCACAUUACUAUUUUAAAUAUUUCAUGAAAAAAUGUUAGGAAUAAAUGGUAGAAUGUACUCUAUUUUUUAGAAAACAAGCCACGAGUAUUUAUGUGGUUGUAGACGAACCUUUUUAUAACUUUAAAAUAUAAUAAUUUCAUCCCUCAAUCCCAAGGAAUUAAUGGUUGUGCAUGUAUAUGAAUUUGACAAAUAUUUGACAUGAAACUAUGAUGUGCUAGUAUAUUAAAGAGGGAAGUAAGGUUUUAUAUAUAGAUUUAGCCAAGGUCGGGUUUUGUCAUGCAUAAGCUUGUGGUGAACUGGUGCAGGACAAAGCUCAGGCUGCUCAGCUGAUUUGAGAAAUUAAUGCAUGUUUUGCCCAAGUUUGUAUAUUGUGUGCUCUCUGAUAGUUUGUUGUAUGUAUCUUUAAAAGGCCAUCCAUUAACUUGUUUGUCCCAUCUCUUAUGAGUAUUGGGUUAAUUGAUUCAAGUGCUAGCAUAUUUUUGGUAAGGGUUGUUAUAAUGCGACAGCUAGGCCAGUAAGCAAGACCUCACUGUGUGGUUAUUUUUAUAGUGGAAAUUCCUUUCAAAUUGUAUGGACAACCUGACUGGCUCAGUUUUCAGAUCUCACCUGAACAAGGCAAGCUCUCAGUUACACCAGGAAGGCGGGAACACUAACUGGACUGACUUGUUCAAAAUAAAGUCAAAACAACAUCGGUCAUGAAAAUAUUGUCAAAACAAUAGGCCAACCUGGCUUCCAUAUUCAUAGCCCCUAUGGCACUAUAAUCUAUUCUGAGCCUCCUCCACAGGCAUGGGCGUACCGGGCAGGGGGCGAGGGUGGAAGCAGCCCCCCAGUUUGUUGAACAAACAAAGCCAGUCGGGCAAUAUUCGCUUC